This 253-nucleotide ribosomal RNA is filed under the name uncultured bacterium. RNAcentral describes it as "partial 16S ribosomal RNA". It matches the Rfam family "Bacterial small subunit ribosomal RNA", at positions 524 to 776 of the family's 1533-position model. The record is from RNAcentral.
UACGUAGGGUGCAAGCGUUAAUCGGAAUUACUGGGCGUAAAGCGUGCGCAGGCGGUUUUGCAAGACAGAUGUGAAAUCCCCGGGCUCAACCUGGGAACUGCAUUUGUGACUGCAAGGCUAGAGUACGGCAGAGGGGGAUGGAAUUCCGCGUGUAGCAGUGAAAUGCGUAGAUAUGCGGAGGAACACCAAUGGCGAAGGCAAUCCCCUGGGCCUGUACUGACGCUCAUGCACGAAAGCGUGGGGAGCAAACAGG